This 1372-nucleotide ribosomal RNA is filed under the name uncultured bacterium. RNAcentral describes it as "bacterial SSU rRNA". It matches the Rfam family "Bacterial small subunit ribosomal RNA", at positions 28 to 1381 of the family's 1533-position model. The record is from RNAcentral.
GAUGAACGCUGGCGGCGUGCCUAAUACAUGCAAGUCGAGCGAACGGACGAGAAGCUUGCUUUUCUGAUGUUAGCGGCGGACGGGUGAGUAACACGUGGAUAACCUACCUAUAAGACUGGGAUAACUUCGGGAAACCGGAGCUAAUACCGGAUAAUAUUUUGAACCGCAUGGUUCAAAAGUGAAAGACGGUCUUGCUGUCACUUAUAGAUGGAUCCGCGCUGCAUUAGCUAGUUGGUAAGGUAACGGCUUACCAAGGCAACGAUGCAUAGCCGACCUGAGAGGGUGAUCGGCCACACUGGAACUGAGACACGGUCCAGACUCCUACGGGAGGCAGCAGUAGGGAAUCUUCCGCAAUGGGCGAAGACCUGACGGAGCAACGCCGCGUGAGUGAUGAAGGUCUUCGGAUCGUAAAACUCUGUUAUUAGGGAAGAACAUAUGUGUAAGUAACUGUGCACAUCUUGACGGUACCUAAUCAGAAAGCCACGGCUAACUACGUGCCAGCAGCCGCGGUAAUACGUAGGUGGCAAGCGUUAUCCGGAAUUAUUGGGCGUAAAGCGCGCGUAGGCGGUUUUUUAAGUCUGAUGUGAAAGCCCACGGCUCAACCGUGGAGGGUCAUUGGAAACUGGAAAACUUGAGUGCAGAAGAGGAAAGUGGAAUUCCAUGUGUAGCGGUGAAAUGCGCAGAGAUGUGGAGGAACACCAGUGGCGAAGGCGACUUUCUGGUCUGUAACUGACGCUGAUGUGCGAAAGCGUGGGGAUCAAACAGGAUUAGAUACCCUGGUAGUCCACGCCGUAAACGAUGAGUGCUAAGUGUUAGGGGGUUUCCGCCCCUUAGUGCUGCAGCUAACGCAUUAAGCACUCCGCCUGGGGAGUACGACCGCAAGGUUGAAACUCAAAGGAAUUGACGGGGGCCCGCACAAGCGGUGGAGCAUGUGGUUUAAUUCGAAGCAACGCGAAGAACCUUACCAAAUCUUGACAUCCUUUGACAACUCUAGAGAUAGAGCCUUCCCCUUCGGGGGACAAAGUGACAGGUGGUGCAUGGUUGUCGUCAGCUCGUGUCGUGAGAUGUUGGGUUAAGUCCCGCAACGAGCGCAACCCUUAAGCUUAGUUGCCAUCAUUAAGUUGGGCACUCUAAGUUGACUGCCGGUGACAAACCGGAGGAAGGUGGGGAUGACGUCAAAUCAUCAUGCCCCUUAUGAUUUGGGCUACACACGUGCUACAAUGGACAAUACAAAGGGCAGCGAAACCGCGAGGUCAAGCAAAUCCCAUAAAGUUGUUCUCAGUUCGGAUUGUAGUCUGCAACUCGACUACAUGAAGCUGGAAUCGCUAGUAAUCGUAGAUCAGCAUGCUACGGUGAAUACGUUCCCGGGUCU